GAAUCUUGCGCAAUGCACGACAGUGUGACGCAGCAACGCCGCGUGGGGGAAGAAGGCUUUCGGGUCGUAAACCCCUUUCAGGAGGGACGAAGCUUCGGUCGCGAAUCGCGGUCCGGAGUGACGGUACUUCCACAAAAAGCCCCGGCUAACUACGUGCCCGCCGCCGCGGUAAUACGUAGGGGGCAAGCGUUGUCCGGAAUCAUUGGGCGUAAAGAGCGCGUAGGCGGCCAGAUAAGUCCGGUGUGAAAGUCACAGGCUCAACCUGUGAAUGCCGCUGGAAACUGUCUGGCUAGAGUCCGGUGGGGGCGAGUGGAAUUCCUGGUGUAGCGGUGAAAUGCGCAGAUAUCAGGAGGAACACCAAUGGCGAAGGCAGCUCGCUGGAACGGUACUGACGCUGAGGCGCGAAAGCGUGGGGAGCGAACAGG
RNAcentral lists this ribosomal RNA (425 nucleotides) under uncultured bacterium. Its description in RNAcentral is "bacterial SSU rRNA". It matches the Rfam family "Bacterial small subunit ribosomal RNA", at positions 359 to 776 of the family's 1533-position model. The record is from RNAcentral.